GACUUGGUAGCCUAGUUGGUAAAGGCAGCACACCUAGUAUAGUUUCUUAAGCUAAGGUUGCUGGUUCAAAUCCUGCCCAAGUCA
This 84-nucleotide transfer RNA is filed under the name Puccinia triticina 1-1 BBBD Race 1. RNAcentral describes it as "tRNA-Lys (CTT) (tRNA-Lys-CTT-4-1)". It matches the Rfam family "tRNA". Rfam says of the family: Transfer RNA (tRNA) molecules are approximately 80 nucleotides in length. Their secondary structure includes four short double-helical elements and three loops (D, anti-codon, and T loops). Lineage: Eukaryota; Fungi; Basidiomycota; Pucciniomycetes; Pucciniales; Pucciniaceae. The record is from RNAcentral.